CCUACGGGUGGCAGCAGUGGGGAAUAUUGGGCAAUGGGCGCAAGCCUGAUCCAGCAACGCCGCGUGAAGGAAGAAGGAAUUCGGGAUGUAAACUUCUAUUCGCAGGGACGAAGAAAGUGAUGGUACCUGAGGAAGAAGCCACUGCCAACUACGCGCCAGCAGCCGCGGUAAUACGUAGGUGGCAAGCGUUAGCCGGUUUUAUUGGGUGUAAAGGGCGCGUAGACGGGAGCGCAAGUCAGAAGUGAAAAGUCACGGCUCAACCCUGUGCCUGUAUUUGAAAAUGUGUUACUAGAGUGCUGGAGAGGUAAGCGGAAUUCCGUGUGUAGCGGUGAAAUGCGUAGAUAUUCGGAGGAACACCAGUGGCGAAGGCGGAUUGCUGGACAGUAACUGACGCUGAGGCGCGAAAGCGUGGGGAGCAAACAGGAUUAGAUACCCCAGUAGUC
This 443-nucleotide ribosomal RNA is filed under the name uncultured bacterium. RNAcentral describes it as "partial 16S ribosomal RNA". It matches the Rfam family "Bacterial small subunit ribosomal RNA", at positions 338 to 795 of the family's 1533-position model. The record is from RNAcentral.